UAACUGCCCCUAUAACUCAGAGGCAGAGUACUUCCUUGGUAAGGAAGAAGUCACCAGUUCAAAUCUGGUUAGGGGCUU
Molecule: transfer RNA, 78 nt
Filed under: Porphyropsis coccinea
Lineage: Eukaryota; Rhodophyta; Compsopogonophyceae; Erythropeltidales; Erythrotrichiaceae
Description: tRNA-Thr
Rfam family: tRNA
About the family: Transfer RNA (tRNA) molecules are approximately 80 nucleotides in length. Their secondary structure includes four short double-helical elements and three loops (D, anti-codon, and T loops).
Source: RNAcentral